CCCAUUUAGAUUCCCAGUGAUUUGUAGGAGAACUUCUGGAUUUUCUGAGGUCCAUGCAGAAAAUGCCAGGUGUGGCCGUGUGAGCUCUGAAGCAGCACUGCGGCCAGCAGCACAUCGUCGGCUCAGGUUUCUCUGCACUGAGCUGCUCUAGUUAAACCAGCCACACUUAAUCAUUUGUGGAUAGAUGUGGAAAGGUUUUAAUUCAAUUUAAAUGUGCAGUUAUUAUAAGCUGUUAUUGAAGCUGAUUUUUCCCUCACUCUUUCUUUGUUUUUUCUUUUCCUUUAUGUAUCAAUGACCUCUGCAUAUGUUCUCCCCUCAAUGUUUGUUGUGCAGCAGCCACCAUCUAUUAGCCUAGUUUCUGAAAUCAUCUCCUUUAAGUUUUAUCAGCAGUCAGAGUUCAGCAGUGGAUGUCAGUGUUGCUGCUACUGCCUGGAGGAUGUGGUGUGGGAAAAGGUGCAAUGCACUUCGAACCAGGUGUUACUCUGCUCAUUAGAAGAUACCUGCACUUCAAGGUUUGAUUUAUUUGAAGAGCUGAAUCUGAUAAUAAACUGAAGUCAGGACCAUGAUGUAGACCCAGAUUUCUUUUCACAUGACAGAAUCCUGUAUCUGGGGAGGAUGGAAAGCUGUUGAGGUUUAAAGACUGUCUUGGGUUGCAAUGCAAGAUGUAACCAAAAGUUUGUAUUUUAUUACCAUCUAGUCGGGAAUUCAAGAGCCAUUUGUUUAUUUGCUUGGCAUUUUCUGUCUGAUUUGUGUGACUUUAUCUUAGUUCCAUGUCUAAUCAGUUGUGGUCUCACUGUUGUAUCAUGGAUUGAUCGGUAUUAGUCUGUCUUUACAAACUGCCUUGCUGCAGGGUGAUGCUAAACUGGUAUAUCUCUACAUUAUCUACCCGGAAGCUGGCUCAGUUAAAUACAACUUUUUUGACUUGUUGGUUUCUUGGUUGUUUUUUUGGGGUUUUUUUAAGCACUCAGUCAUGUAUAGUUUAAUCCUAAUUAAUCUGUGGAGUGAGCUCUACCAGAGAGAAAAUUCACUUGUAAGCAUCUGUGGCUGCUGGCCCAGGUGAAUUGUCCUUUCUGGCCCUGUCUAGUCUAGGUUAUUGGGCCAGGCUGUGGUCCUGCCUGGCAGCAGAGGAACUUAUUCCCCAGCCUGUCCUAACAGCAAACAUUCAGGAAGGGAACAUGGAUUAACACCUAGGGCAGUUUUAGUUAGCAAUCAGUAAUGGUAUUACUGGAUAUCAGAUGGUAUCUGCUUAUCAUAGAAUCAUAGAAAAGACCUAGUCUGUAAAAGACCUUCAGAACUAUCAAGUCCAGCCUUUAAGCUAAUCCCCCAAGCCCACAAAACCAUAUCCCCAAGUGCCAUGUCAACUCAUUUUUUGACCACUUCCAGGGUUGGUGUCUCCACCACUGCCCUGGACAGCCUGUUCUAACCCUUCACCACUCUUCCAGGGAAGAAAUUCUUCCUGAUGUCCAACCUAAACCUUUCUUGGCACAGCUUGGGGCUGUUUCUUCUUGUCCUGUCCCUUAUUCCUGGGAGCAGAGCCCAAACCCCCUGGCUGCACCUUCCUGUCAGGGAGUUGUGCAGAGCCAGAAGGGCCCCCCAAGCCUCCUUUUCUCCAGGCUGAGUCCCUUUCCUAGCUCCCUCAGCUGCUCCUGGGGCUCCAGACCCUGCUCCAGCUCCAUUCUCCUGUCUGGACACACUCCAUCCCCUCAGUGUUUCUUGUAUGACAAUUACACAGUCAAGACAGUAAAGAUAGAGAUUCUCUAUGAUUUGUGUGGCUUUCAAAUCACACAAAUCUCUAUGAUUUGUGUGAUUUGAAAAGACUGUUAGUUGUCUUUAACUUCAGUGCUCUCCAUGCCUUCACAGUUCAUCCUGGCCUUCCAAUGUAGAUUUUGGAUGAUGGGAUAAUGAAAAGAAAACCCCAUUUUGUAACUUCCUUUGCUACACCAUAGUUUAAUGCAGUUUGAAUUUUACUGCUGCAUAUUUCUCCUCGUUUAACUCUGGAAGUAAUAGUGCAUCAGCAUUAAUAAAUCUCAGCUUCUGAUCUAGGUUAUUCCA
Long non-coding RNA from Cyanistes caeruleus (blue tit), 2052 nucleotides. NCBI's taxonomy places the organism in Eukaryota, Metazoa, Chordata, Aves, Passeriformes, Paridae. The record is from Ensembl.